GUAGUUAGCCGGGGCUUCCUCCUUGGCUACCGUCAUUUGUUUCGUCACCAAGGACAGAGGUUUACAACCCGAAAGCCUUCUUCCCUCACGCGGCGUUGCUGGGUCAGGCUUGCGCCCAUUGCCCAAUAUUCCCCACUGCUGCCUCCCGUAGGAGUCUGGACCGUGUCUCAGUUCCAGUGUGGCCGAUCAGCCUCUCAGCUCGGCUACCCAUCGUCGGCUUGGUGGGCUGUUAUCUCACCAACUACCUAAUGGGACGCGAACCCCUCCUAGAGCGAUAAAUCUUUGACCCCUUCCCGAUGUCGGGCCGUGGUCUCAUGCGGUAUUAGCACUUGUUUCCAGGUGUUAUCCCCCACUCCAGGGCAGGUUGUUCACGCGUUACUCACCCGUUCGCCACUAAAAUUAACAUCUUCCAUCCGAAAACUUCCAACGUUAAUCUCCGUUCGACUUGCAUGUGUUAGGCACGCCGCCAGCGUUCGUCCUGAGCCAUGAUCAAACUACUGA
RNAcentral lists this ribosomal RNA (501 nucleotides) under uncultured bacterium. RNAcentral's name for it is "partial 16S ribosomal RNA". The record is from RNAcentral.